GGCGAUCUAGUUUAAGUAAAAACAUCUGUUUGUCAAGCAGAAAAUCCAUAUAAAGAUGGGACCGCCU
RNAcentral lists this transfer RNA (67 nucleotides) under Tridacna derasa. Its description in RNAcentral is "tRNA-Asp". It matches the Rfam family "tRNA". Rfam says of the family: Transfer RNA (tRNA) molecules are approximately 80 nucleotides in length. Their secondary structure includes four short double-helical elements and three loops (D, anti-codon, and T loops). Further hydrogen bonds mediate the characteristic L-shaped molecular structure. tRNAs have two regions of fundamental functional importance: the anti-codon, which is responsible for specific mRNA codon recognition, and the 3' end, to which the tRNAs corresponding amino acid is attached (by aminoacyl-tRNA synthetases). tRNAs cope with the degeneracy of the genetic code in two manners: having more than one tRNA (with a specific anti-codon) for a particular amino acid; and 'wobble' base-pairing, i.e. permitting non-standard base-pairing at the 3rd anti-codon position. The record is from RNAcentral. Lineage: Eukaryota; Metazoa; Mollusca; Bivalvia; Cardiida; Cardiidae.